GCGCGCGCUAACUGCAGUCGAGCGACUGAUUAGAAGCUUGCUUCUAUGACGUUAGCGGCGGACGGGUGAGUAACACGUGGGCAACCUGCCUGUAAGACUGGGAUAACUUCGGGAAACCGAAGCUAAUACCGGAUAGGAUCUUCUCCUUCAUGGGAGAUGAUUGAAAGAUGGUUUCGGCUAUCACUUACAGAUGGGCCCGCGGUGCAUUAGCUAGUUGGUGAGGUAACGGCUCACCAAGGCAACGAUGCAUAGCCGACCUGAGAGGGUGAUCGGCCACACUGGGACUGAGACACGGCCCAGACUCCUACGGGAGGCAGCAGUAGGGAAUCUUCCGCAAUGGACGAAAGUCUGACGGAGCAACGCCGCGUGAGUGAUGAAGGCUUUCGGGUCGUAAAACUCUGUUGUUAGGGAAGAACAAGUACGAGAGUAACUGCUCGUACCUUGACGGUACCUAACCAGAAAGCCACGGCUAACUACGUGCCAGCAGCCGCGGUAAUACGUAGGUGGCAAGCGUUAUCCGGAAUUAUUGGGCGUAAAGCGCGCGCAGGCGGUUUCUUAAGUCUGAUGUGAAAGCCCACGGCUCAACCGUGGAGGGUCAUUGGAAACUGGGGAACUUGAGUGCAGAAGAGAAAAGCGGAAUUCCACGUGUAGCGGUGAAAUGCGUAGAGAUGUGGAGGAACACCAGUGGCGAAGGCGGCUUUUUGGUCUGUAACUGACGCUGAGGCGCGAAAGCGUGGGGAGCAAACAGGAUUAGAUACCCUGGUAGUCCACGCCGUAAACGAUGAGUGCUAAGUGUUAGAGGGUUUCCGCCCUUUAGUGCUGCAUCUAACGCAGUAAGCACUCCGCCUGGGGAGUACGGUCGCAAGACUGAAACUCAGAGGAAUUGACGGGGGCCCGCACAAGCGGGGAACCAGGGGGUUUAAUUCGGAGGAACGGCGAAGAGCCUU
This 947-nucleotide ribosomal RNA is filed under the name Bacillus sp. 7_Lm2_A_BM1. RNAcentral describes it as "bacterial SSU rRNA". It matches the Rfam family "Bacterial small subunit ribosomal RNA", at positions 42 to 972 of the family's 1533-position model. The record is from RNAcentral. Lineage: Bacteria; Bacillati; Bacillota; Bacilli; Caryophanales; Bacillaceae.